RNAcentral lists this ribosomal RNA (600 nucleotides) under uncultured Sebacinales. Its description in RNAcentral is "eukaryotic LSU rRNA". The stretch from base 181 to 334 matches the Rfam family "5.8S ribosomal RNA". The record is from RNAcentral. Lineage: Eukaryota; Fungi; Basidiomycota; Agaricomycetes; Sebacinales.
CAUUAAUGAUUAUGAAUCGUCACCUCCUGUGCUGGCCGCCCUUGGCAAGUGCACGUUGGUGGCUUUCAUCCAAUACCCCUGUGAACCUUUGGCCUCUUGUUGGCUUCGGCUGGCAGAGGAUUUUUUACAUACACACUCGAAUGUAAUGAAAGCCCUUAUUGUGCGCAAGCACUAAUGUACAACUUUCAACAACGGAUCUCUUGGCUCUCGCAUCGAUGAAGAACGCAGCGAAAUGCGAUAAGUAAUGUGAAUUGCAGAAUUCAGUGAAUCAUCGAACCUUUGAACGCACCUUGCACCCUUUGGCAUUCCGAAGGGUAUGCUCGUUUGAGUGUCAUUGUACUCUCACACUCUCUAAUUCGGAUUCGGAUUGGGAGCGGUGGACUUGGGUGUUGCCGCUUCACUGUGGCUCGCCUCAAAUGUGUUAGUGCAACUGUUGAUUAGACAUAGUACGGCGUGAUAAGUGUCUUCGCCGGCACCUCGCAAGAGGGUGGCUAAUCGGGAGCUCUGUGCUUCAAACUGUCUUUGGACAAUCCUUGACAACUUGACCUCAAAUCGAGUAGGACUACCCGCUGAACUUAAGCAUAUCAAUAAGCGGAGGAA